CCGAUAUAAACACGUUAAGAAUGGAGGUCAUUCAGAACAUUGAAAUGUUCAAAUCAUUAUGGAAAAUAUUGUGAAUUUUUUCAAAUGUAUUUUCUCAGUCAACUGAUCUCUCCCUCGAACAGGAUAUUAUCUUAACCAUCUGCCAUCCUCCUUUUCUCCUCAUUUGAGACCAAGCACGGAGACACUGAUGAAUAGUCACUGACUGACAGUAUUGCAUAGAGUGGUUCAGUGAAGGUUGAGUGAAAUGCAGGUGUGUCGUAGACUUGUUAGGACAGAAUGCCUUGAGGAGUUCAGCUACACCCCAACUUUGUCAGCGUUUGAGGAAACGACGUUUGAGGCGUCUCAGGCUCCAGGAUUUGUCAUUGUAACAAAAUAAACAGUUGAGCUCUUUUCCAACCCUGCUCAUGUCUUCAUAUGCCACACCUGCAUUAAACGAUUUCCCACCGCACUCAGCCUCCCAGUAACAACGUCCAGUCAAACCUUCUCUUCACAACACCUGAGGAUAGUCGGCAAAUCUCUCGGUGUAGAUUCCGACGUUCCAUAUCCAGACAUUGCACAGUUCUCCUGUUUUUCUGUCUUCAAAGAAGGAAGGCAGGCCCGAGGAAGAGACCAGAGUUCAACAAAGCCAACAACUGCUUCAUGUGUGCCACUGAUAAAGAACCUGGAUGUGGCCCAAAGACUGACUGGGUUAGUAAGUAACAUAUGGCAUGCAAAACAUUCAAACGGUGGUUCCAUGUGCUGUGCCUAGGAAUGAAGACAAAAGAGUUCAACAGAGUAAAGAACACAAACUGGAAGUGCAGUCUUUGUUGUUGAAAAUGUAUGCUAUACCCCAUCCACACAGGCUCUGAAAUGUACAUCAACCAGGGAUAAAGAGAAAGUUAACACUGAAAUAUUUCGUACUUAUUUGAAGUAAAAUGUCUGUUCACAUGUUGGGAAAGAUUAAAGGUCUACAAUUUCUGUUUAGUUUGUUAAUAUAACAUUUUU
RNAcentral lists this long non-coding RNA (984 nucleotides) under Salmo salar (Atlantic salmon). RNAcentral describes it as "lncRNA (ENSSSAG00000120575.1)". Lineage: Eukaryota; Metazoa; Chordata; Actinopteri; Salmoniformes; Salmonidae. The record is from RNAcentral.